UCGGUGCACGCCUUAGGGUGCGUCUGCAUCGUUGUUCGCGAAUACUUUCCCACCGUGGAGUUUGGCUGGAACAACGUCUACCAACAUGUACAUGUUAUGCUCUUGUUAUUAAGUUUUUUGAUUAAUAAAGAUCUAUCUGGAUGGUUGCUAUGAAAGCAAACCGUAGUAGAGUUAAUCUCUGUCUUCACGGAUGUCUUCAUGGAAGAAGUUAAUAACGAAGACAUAAUAUAUGGAUAAUAGAUAACGGUUAUGGUAAAAUUGAUUUAAAUACCUAGUGUUUUUAUCUAUUUAAGAAUCUUAUAAUUUUCAAAGGUGCCAAAAAGUAAUCGCGUGCAUCGACGCUGUACACCAUAAACACGUAAUAACGUGGAGCCGUCGUCAUGGGUGUCCCACGUAUUAUGCAAGAGAUGGGCCGGUAGAAAAUUUUUCAGGCCGUUGAACAGAGUGUACGGUCCUCUGUAGCAUACCUUCGCCCACGAUGAAGUUCGAACUUACUCGAUUUCUCUUUAGGGCCAAGGAGAUAGU
This 525-nucleotide unclassified non-coding RNA is filed under the name Bombus terrestris (buff-tailed bumblebee). Its description in RNAcentral is "misc RNA ENSBTSG00005024208.1". The record is from RNAcentral. Lineage: Eukaryota; Metazoa; Arthropoda; Insecta; Hymenoptera; Apidae.